This is an RNA transcript of Cynara cardunculus var. scolymus (artichoke), 2385 nucleotides long. It is a transcript of the gene named phosphoglucomutase, chloroplastic, with no coding region annotated. NCBI's taxonomy places the organism in Eukaryota, Viridiplantae, Streptophyta, Magnoliopsida, Asterales, Asteraceae. The record is from RefSeq and is a predicted model, not a curated record. The transcript is spliced from 23 exons.
UUUCUCUCCCACCGUCAAUCUUCGCUCGACACCGCAUUCCGGUGCUGAUCCAAAGCUUACAGAGCAAUGGCGAUGGCCGCCGGUUUAGGAACCUGUAUUUUCUCUCUUCCAUCACUCCAGAGACUCAGCACGGCUACCACCACUGCCGCUUCAUUCUCUUCCCUCAGAACCUGUUCCCCAUCGUCCCCCCUACUCUUCUCCACGAUACUAACUCCAAAAACUCGACAAUACUCUUCCGCAAUGAAAGCUUCUUCUCCUUCUACAACAUUCACCGAGUCCCAAGAUCUAAAGGUUAAUACAAUUCCUACGAAGCCGAUCGAAGGUCAGAAAACUGGAACUAGUGGUCUCCGGAAGAAGGUUAAAGUGUUUAUGGAAGAAAAUUACCUUGCAAAUUGGAUUCAGGCAUUAUUUAAUUCGUUGCCACCUGAGGAUUAUAAGAAUGCGUUGCUAGUAUUAGGAGGCGAUGGUCGAUAUUUUAACAAAGAAGCUGCACAGUUGAUUAUUAAAAUUGCUGCCGGAAAUGGAGUUGGUAAAAUUUUGGUCGGCAAGGAAGGUAUUUUGUCGACACCAGCUGUAUCUGCUAUUAUAAGGAAGAGAAAGGCAAAUGGUGGUUUCAUAAUGAGUGCAAGCCAUAACCCUGGAGGGCCUGAAUAUGAUUGGGGCAUCAAGUUCAAUUACAGCAGUGGGCAACCUGCUCCCGAGUCCAUCACUGAUAUGAUCUACGGAAACACACUUUCUAUAUCUGAAAUAAAGUUAGCAGAUAUUCCAGAUGUUGAUCUUUCAAGUGUUGGAAUUACAAAAUAUGGAAACUUUAGCGUGGAGAUAGUCGAUCCAGUCUCUGAUUAUUUGGAUCUGAUGGAGGAUGUCUUUGAUUUUUCACUAAUCAGAAGUCUUGUUUCUCGGUCAGAUUUCAGGUUUACGUUUGAUGCAAUGCAUGCGGUCACAGGUGCUUAUGCAAAGCCAAUUUUUGUAGAUAAGCUUGGAGCUAGUCCGGAUUCAAUAUGUAACGGAGUGCCUCUAGAAGAUUUCGGGCACGGUCAUCCUGAUCCCAAUCUAACGUAUGCAAAGGAUUUGGUCAACAUUAUGUAUAGUGACAAUGGACCUGAUUUUGGAGCUGCAAGUGACGGAGAUGGUGAUAGAAAUAUGAUUCUCGGUAGACAAUUUUUUGUGACUCCGUCAGACUCUGUUGCUAUUAUUGCUGCUAAUGCACAAGAAGCUAUUCCAUAUUUUCAGAGUGGCCCAAAGGGUUUAGCGCGGUCUAUGCCAACAAGUGGUGCACUUGACCGUGUGGCUGAGAAAUUGAAUCUCCCUUUCUUUGAGGUUCCCACUGGUUGGAAAUUUUUUGGGAACUUGAUGGAUGCUGGAACUUUAUCAAUUUGCGGGGAAGAAAGUUUUGGGACAGGUUCUGACCACAUUCGUGAGAAGGAUGGUAUAUGGGCUGUGCUAGCUUGGCUGUCUAUAAUUGCAUACAAAAACAAAAACAAGAACCCUGGAGAGGAAUUAAUUUCUAUAUCUGAAAUUGUAAAGGAGCAUUGGGCCACUUAUGGCAGGAACUACUUCUCUAGAUACGACUAUGAAGAAUGUGAAUCUGCAGGAGCUAAUGAAAUGAUCAAUUAUCUUAGAGACUUGAUUUCUAAAAGCAAACAAGGGGACAAGUAUGGGGUUUAUAGUCUUCAAUUUGCAGAUGACUUCACAUAUAAAGAUCCUGUAGAUGGAAGUGUAGCUUCAAAGCAAGGUGUUCGAUUUGUCUUCACAGAUGGGUCAAGGAUCAUAUUUCGUUUAUCGGGGACUGGUUCAGCAGGUGCGACUGUUAGAAUAUACAUAGAACAGUUUGAGCCUGAUGUCUCAAAACAUGACUUGGAUGCCCAAGUGGCACUGAAACCUUUGAUAGAUCUGGCACUGUCUGUAUCGAAGCUAAAGGAGUUCACUGGAAGGGAAAAGCCUACAGUAAUUACAUAAAUUAAAGUGACUUCUACAAUGAGAGUCUUAUCGGACGUGAUAUUGUAGCAGAUAUCCCUUGAUGAUAAGAAAGCAACAGCAGCAGCAGCAGAGCUUUGAAGUUUGUGGGGGUUGAGAUUUGGUAAAAUAUGUUGGUGCUGAUUAGAUAUUGGUAUGGUUAAAUGAGAUGGAGAUGGAGAUGGAGAUGGAGAUGGAGAUGGAGAAAAAGCAGUGUGUGCAUGCUGUAUCGAACUUGCAAUAAAGGCGAAUCAACUUUGUGGCGGGUCUUAUCCUGUCACUUCUUUUUGAGAGAGAUAAUGCAAGGAACUGGUUUUCUGUGGAUUUUUCUAUUUCAAGUUGAAUAUGUUUAGUGGAUCGCUUCUUUUCUUUUUUCUUCGUGUUACUUGUAAUAAUGCAAUGCCCACAAAACCUGAAUGUUUAACCAAU